This 92-nucleotide ribosomal RNA is filed under the name Clostridium rhizosphaerae. Its description in RNAcentral is "partial 16S ribosomal RNA". It matches the Rfam family "Bacterial small subunit ribosomal RNA", at positions 1442 to 1533 of the family's 1533-position model. The record is from RNAcentral. Lineage: Bacteria; Bacillati; Bacillota; Clostridia; Eubacteriales; Clostridiaceae.
UUUGGAGGCAGCGGCCGAAGGUGGGGGUAGCGAUUGGGGUGAAGUCGUAACAAGGUAGCCGUAGGAGAACCUGCGGCUGGAUCACCUCCUUU